Molecule: ribosomal RNA, 253 nt
Filed under: uncultured bacterium
Lineage: Bacteria
Description: partial 16S ribosomal RNA
Rfam family: Bacterial small subunit ribosomal RNA
Source: RNAcentral
UACCGAGGGGGCAAGCGUUGUUCGGAAUUACUGGGCGUAAAGGGCGCGUAGGCGGCCGCCUAAGUCAGACGUGAAAUCCCUCGGCUUAACCGGGGAACUGCGUCUGAUACUGGAUGGCUAGAGAUUGGGAGAGGGAUGCGGAAUUCCAGGUGUAGCGGUGAAAUGCGUAGAGAUCCGGAGGAACACCAGUGGCGAAGGCGACACGCUGGGCCGUACCUGACACUGAGGCGCGAUAGCAUGGGGAGCAAACAGG